Molecule: ribosomal RNA, 300 nt
Filed under: Triticum aestivum (bread wheat)
Lineage: Eukaryota; Viridiplantae; Streptophyta; Magnoliopsida; Poales; Poaceae
Description: partial small subunit ribosomal RNA
Source: RNAcentral
AUGGUGGUGCUGCAACAGCGACGCCCACAUGGCUGUCAUUCCAAUUUUUGUUGCAACCAGCCCCAAUUUCUGCUACUACCGUCUUUGGAUUUUGCUGGAACCAGCCUAAUUUUUGCUACCAUCUGUCUUUGUUUUGCUGGAACCGGCAUCUCAUUUUGCUUCCACCAUGUUGUGUUUUUGCUGGAACCGACAUUUUCAUCUUUUUUUGCUUCCACCGUGUUGUGUGUUGUGUUUUUGCCUGGAAUCUGUGCCUCACUUUUUGCUUCCAUCGUGUUUUGUUUUUGCUGGAAUGGUACAUGA